UUAGUGGCGCACGGGUGAGUAACGCGUGGGAAUCUGCCCUUGGGUUCGGAAUAACAGUUAGAAAUGACUGCUAAUACCGGAUGAUGUCUUCGGACCAAAGAUUUAUCGCCCAAGGAUGAGCCCGCGUAGGAUUAGGUAGUUGGUGGGGUAAUGGCCCACCAAGCCGACGAUCCUUAGCUGGUCUGAGAGGAUGAUCAGCCACACUGGGACUGAGACACGGCCCAGACUCCUACGGGAGGCAGCAGUGGGGAAUAUUGGACAAUGGGCGAAAGCCUGAUCCAGCAAUGCCGCGUGAGUGAUGAAGGCCUUAGGGUUGUAAAGCUCUUUUACCAGGGAUGAUAAUGACAGUACCUGGAGAAUAAGCUCCGGCUAACUCCGUGCCAGCAGCCGCGGUAAU
This 397-nucleotide ribosomal RNA is filed under the name uncultured bacterium. RNAcentral's name for it is "bacterial SSU rRNA". It matches the Rfam family "Bacterial small subunit ribosomal RNA", at positions 92 to 524 of the family's 1533-position model. The record is from RNAcentral.